Triticum urartu is the source of this 135-nucleotide non-coding RNA. Lineage: Eukaryota; Viridiplantae; Streptophyta; Magnoliopsida; Poales; Poaceae. The record is from Rfam.
CACAUACUUCCUCCGUUCGGAAAUACUUGUCAUCAUAAUGGAUAAAAAAAGAUGUAUCUAGAUGUAUUUUAAUUCUAGAUACAUAUUUUUUUAUCCAUUUUGAUGACAAGUAUUUUCGGACGGAGGGAGUAGCAG